Molecule: ribosomal RNA, 1416 nt
Filed under: metagenome
Description: bacterial LSU rRNA
Rfam family: Bacterial large subunit ribosomal RNA
Source: RNAcentral
UCGGGACCUAAGCCGAGGCUGAUAGGCGUAGGCGAUGGAUAGCAGGUUAAUAUUCCUGCACCUCCUGGCCCCAAAGCAUCAGGGACACAGGUCGGAGAACAACUAGGUAAUUGAAUUCCGAGGUGCGGCUACGGCCAAUCCGUAUUGUUCAAAGAACUGUCAAGAAAAGCUGAUGUGUCGUGCUAAGGGAGCCCGUACCGUAAACCAUCACAGGUGGGUGGGUAGAAUAUACCAAGGCGUAAGAGUGAAACCUGGUUAAGGAACUCGGCAAAAUAGCCCCGUAACUUCGGAAUAAGGGGUGCCUGCUUCGGCAGGCCGCAGUGAAAUGGAUCAACCGACUGUUUAGCAAAAACACAGCAUUCUGCGAAGACGCAAGUCGAAGUAUAGGAUGUGACACGUGACCAAUGCCGAAAGAUUAAGGCGAGGGGUUAGCGCAAGCGAAGCUCUGAACCCAAGUCCCGGUGAAUGUCGGCCGUAACGAUAACGGUCCUAAGGUAGCGAAAUUCCUUGUCGGGUAAGUUCCGACCUGCACGAAUCGUGCAACGAGUUGAUCGCUGUCUCAACCAGGAGCUCAGUGAAGUUGUUGUGCCGGUGAAGAUGCCGGCUACCCGCAGAAGGACGGAAAGACCCUAUGAACCUUAACUGUAAGCUGUCACUGUUUUUUCGGUUUCAAUGCUCAGCGUAAGUGGGAGACUUUGAUGCGGCCCUUCAGGGGGUCGCGGAGUCGUCAAUGAGACACCACCCUUUGAAUUUGGAGAAUCUAACAUCCUGCCCUGAAUCGGGCGGAAGGACAAUGGCAGCCGGUCAGUUUUACUGGGGCGGUAUCCUCCCAAAAUGUAACGGAGGAGCGCGAAGUUUGGGCUCAGCGUGGUUGGCAAUCACGUUUCGAGUGUAUAGGCAUAAGCCAGACUAACUGUGAGACGGACAUGUCGAGCAGAUACGAAAGUAGGCCUAAGUGAUCCGGUAGUUGAAUGUGGAAUUGCUAUCGCUCAACGGAUAAAAGGUACUCUAGGGAUAACAGGCUGAUCGCGCCCAAGAGUUCAUAUCGACGGCGCGGUUUGGCACCUCGAUGUCGGCUCGUCGCAUCCUGGGGCUGGAGAAGGUCCCAAGGGUCUGGCUGUUCGCCAGUUAAAGCGGCACGCGAGCUGGGUUCAGAACGUCGCGAGACAGUUCGGUCCUCUAUCCUCUGUGGGCGUAGGAGAAUUGAGGGGUUCAAACCCUAGUACGAGAGGACCGGGUUUGACGCACCUCUGGUGUACCAGUUGUUCUGUCAAGGGCACGGCUGGGUAGCUAUGUGCGGACUAGAUAAGCGCUGAAAGCAUCUAAGCGUCAAGCUAUUCCCAAGAUUAAUUCUCCCUGAAGGAUCGUGGAAGACUACCACGUCGAUAGGCUGCAGGUAUAAUUUCAGUAAUGGAU